This 504-nucleotide ribosomal RNA is filed under the name uncultured Glomus. RNAcentral's name for it is "SSU rRNA". It matches the Rfam family "Eukaryotic small subunit ribosomal RNA", at positions 569 to 1077 of the family's 1831-position model. The record is from RNAcentral. Lineage: Eukaryota; Fungi; Glomeromycota; Glomeromycetes; Glomerales; Glomeraceae.
AGCAGCCGCGGUAAUUCCAGCUCCAAUAGCGUAUAUUAAAGUUGCUGCAGUUAAAAAGCUCGUAGUUGAAUUUCGGGGUCAGUAGGUUGGUCAUGCCACAGGUAUGUACUGAUCUUACUGAUUCCUCCUUCCUGAUGAACCGUAAUGCCAUUAAUUUGGUGUUGCGGGGAAACUGGACUGUUACUUUGAAAAAAUUAGAGUGUUUAAAGCAGGCUAACGCUUGAAUACAUUAGCAUGGAAUAAUGAAAUAGGACGUUCGAUCCUAUUUUGUUGGUUUCUAGGAUUGACGUAAUGAUUAAUAGGGAUAGUUGGGGGCAUUAGUAUUCAAUUGUCAGAGGUGAAAUUCUUGGAUUUAUUGAAGACUAACUACUGCGAAAGCAUUUGCCAAGGAUGUUUUCAUUAAUCAAGAACGAAAGUUAGGGGAUCGAAGACGAUCAGAUACCGUCGUAGUCUUAACCAUAAACUAUGCCGACUAGGGAUCGGAUGAUGUUAAUUUUUUAAUGA